RNAcentral lists this ribosomal RNA (460 nucleotides) under uncultured bacterium. Its description in RNAcentral is "partial 16S ribosomal RNA". It matches the Rfam family "Bacterial small subunit ribosomal RNA", at positions 338 to 795 of the family's 1533-position model. The record is from RNAcentral.
CCUACGGGAGGCAGCAGUGAGGAAUAUUGGUCAAUGGGCGGAAGCCUGAACCAGCCAAGUCGCGUGAGGGAAUAAGGCCCUACGGGUCGUAAACCUCUUUUGCCGGGGAGCAAGGGCGGGGACGUGUCCCGUCCCGGAGAGUACCCGGAGAAAAAGCAUCGGCUAACUCCGUGCCAGCAGCCGCGGUAAUACGGAGGAUGCGAGCGUGAUCCGGUUUUAUUGGGUUAAAAGGGUGCGUAGGCGGGCUUUUAAGUCAGCGGUAAAAAUUCGGGGCUCAACCCCGUCCGGCCGUUGAAACUGGGGGCCUUGAGUGGGCGAGAAGAAGGCGGAAUGCGUGGUGUAGCGGUGAAAUGCAUAGAUAUCACGCAGAACCCCGAUUGCGAAGGCAGCCUUCCGGCGCCCUACUGACGCUGAGGCACGAAAGUGCGGGGAUCGAACAGGAUUAGAUACCCUAGUAGUC